Molecule: ribosomal RNA, 253 nt
Filed under: uncultured bacterium
Lineage: Bacteria
Description: partial 16S ribosomal RNA
Rfam family: Bacterial small subunit ribosomal RNA
Source: RNAcentral
UACGUAGGGACCGAGCGUUGUCCGGAUUCAUUGGGCGUAAAGAGCUCGUAGGCGGCCACUCAAGUCGAAUGUGAAACCUCGAGGCUUAACCUCGAGCCUGCAUUCGAUACUGGGCGGCUAGAGUCUGGUAGGGGGAUCUGGAAUUCCUGGUGUAGCGGUGAAAUGCGCAGAUAUCAGGAGGAACACCGAUGGCGAAGGCAGGUCUCUGGGCAUUAACUGACGCUGAGGAGCGAAAGCAUGGGGAGCGAACAGG